GUGUUGUCAUUUUAUUGAUUAGGUUUCUUUUUUUCGCGGAUUAGGGUUCUUUUGGACGCUCUCUUGACUAACCAAACCUUGAUCUUGAUUUCCUGGGCUAAGCUCUCCUAUUAUAUAUUUCCUGAGAUUUGAUUGUUUCUUAGUUUUCGAUUUGACGAGACUAUUGCAUAUUUUGUGGCAUUGACAUGGACUUGGAAGCUAUGAAGGUGAUCAGAAGCUUGAAAUUCAGAAAAAAUGAAUUUCAAGCUUCUGCUCAUUUACAUAGCUUUCAAUUCCAUGUUCAUAGCUUGAAGUUCAAUUUGGUUGCCUUAGUGUUGAUGUGAAACUUGCUGGAGGAUUCAUGGCUGUGUAAAUGCUACAUUAACUGGGCAAUCGUCUUCAGAUUUAUUUCUGCUUUUGUGGAUUUUGGUUCUAUGGGUUCAUUCGAGCUUUCUUUCCCCGCGGAGAAGGUCGCUGUCUUCUGAUUCUCCAUUCACUAUCAAAACCCUGAUCUUCGCUUCCAUGGAUAUGCUCUCCUACUCGCCACACUUUGGAACCGACUGUUGCUAAAUUUCCUGGGAUUUGGCUUGGGAGCGUUGCGGUGCUAUGAUGGCGGCGCUAAGCUCUUUAUUUGGGGGACAAGUUUGAGGUAACAUAGCGGCGCUGCGAUAUUAUGGUCUCUAUUUGGGAGCACUAUAGUCUGGUGGAGAAGAGAACAGAGAAACAGAGAGGGGAAAAAGAAAGAAGAGAGGAUUUGGGAGCCUUCGAGCGAUUUUCGUCCAUCGAGUCUUUUUAAGAAAUUUUCAGCUUGAGAUUUGCACAACACUAGUGCACAACACAUCCAGCAUCGGGACUAGCACUAGCUCCUACCCACCAACCUUUAAACUACGAUUCAGUUGUGAAGUUACUUGACCGCUUGGAGAUGCAAGCGACAACAUAGUAUCAUAAGACGAUUAAGCAUUGGGAGUGACUCCACUAGCAGCAUAAGCUGCACCAACAGUAGCAUGAUCAACUUCAGCAGCAACACGAGUCAGAUAGAGUCCGGUUAAACGAUCAAUUCUCUACUCUCCACUUGUACUUUCAUCCAUCACCUCCACCUGAUCAGGGUCCUUCAUACUUCUAUGUUUGUGUAUUAUGUCGUAGUUGUCUUUUUUUAUUGUUGUGUCUUAUAUUGUCUUUUGUCUUUAUCCUUGUUUUUUUCUCCUUUUUGGUGAUGUCAAAAUGGAGAGUAUGAUGUUAGUAUAGGGUGUUGGUAGUAUGUAUUUAUAUCUUUGGUGUUUUUAGUUCGGUUGUUUUUUGAUAUAUAUUUGCUCUUAUGCUUAUUUUUUAUAUAUGUUUAAAAAAAAAAUCUCUCCCUAUUUUCAUAAGAACUCAGUAAGGAGGAGAUUAGGAGAAAAUAAAUUAAACUUGAGAAUUUAGCCAACAAUGUUUGCCAUCAUAAAAAAGGGAGAGAUUAUUGUAAUUCGGGGCCUUGAGCUUAGGAAUUUGAUGAUAAUAAACAUUAUUAGAUUGCUAUUUUAUUUCUUAUAGUACUAUAUUGCAUACCUUUCAUAUGAGCACUAAACAUUUAAGUACAACGCACACCGUGCAAUUAAUGAUCAAGCAAGACUGAGUAUAAUAAGUUUGAUAUUUUUGAAAGAUUCCGCAUUUUCAUUUAUUUAUUUUUUUAUGCUUCUUCAGUGAAAUGUCCUGUAAAAGGUAUAUGAUAGUUUAAAGACUGUGCACAUGCACAUACACAUUGGUGAGCAAAAAUAAAUUUUUAAUUUCUAUGAAGUUCAUACUAUACGAUCUGGAUAAAAUAUAGAUUAAUUAGAACAUUUAAUUAAGAUAAUUUAAAUUUGAACAAAUCGUAUUGUAUGAUCCAAAUCGUACAGGAUGAUCAGUAGAAAUAAAAAAUUUUGUUGCCAAUCAUAAAUUAUCUAAUAUUUUGAAAUUCAAAAAUAAAUUAAUCAUACUGUACAAUUACAAUCGUAUUGGAGGAUGUAGUUAAAUUUUGUCUAAUUUAAUCUUAUAAUUAAGCAAUCAAAUCUGGAUUAAUUGAGAGUACAUAUCGUACCGUACAGUGUCCUGAUUCAUACAUUAUGACCUGAUUAGCUCCCGAAAUGAAUAGUUUACUACCAACAAUCAUACGGGAUGAAAAUCCUAUUCGAAUGAACUAAUCAUACUAUACGACUCUUGAUAUCGUACUGGACGAUCAGUUCAAAUGUUUGAACCAAUGUUGCACCGCUACACCUAUUUAUGAAGGCGUGCUAUAUCUGAUACAUGGAUACGCCUCCGAUACGACACUGAUACAUGUCGGAUACGGCUUUGCCGUAUCCAAUUAAAAUGCUAUUCAAUUUCAAAAGGACACGUGUAUCCAAUAUGGAUGUUCAUUGAAAAAUAAAUAAAAAAAAUAUGAAAAAUAGACCCGUCGUGUUUACUUCUGAUGCUUUGAGCUAGGAUCUCUCAUUUUCGAGAUGAAUUUGAGUCUCUUGAUGAUAUGGGAAUAUUAGAAACUGCUAAUCUUUCACUUGUUGAGUAUGAAUUAGAAGCUAUGAUAUUUAUUGAAGAGGAUAUAGAAGU
Dendrobium catenatum is the source of this 2541-nucleotide long non-coding RNA. RefSeq lists it as uncharacterized. The record is from RefSeq and is a predicted model, not a curated record. NCBI's taxonomy places the organism in Eukaryota, Viridiplantae, Streptophyta, Magnoliopsida, Asparagales, Orchidaceae. The transcript has 4 exons.